UGUCUUUUAAAUGAAGACCUGUAUGAAUGGCGAAACGAGGGCUUAACUGUCUCCCUUCUCCAGUCAAUGAAAUUGAUCUGCCCGUGCAGAAGCGGACAUACAAAUACAAGACGAGAAGACCCUUUGGAGCUUAAGAUAAAAAAUCAACUAUGUCAAGAACCUAAAAAUCAGGUCAAACUAAGUAGCAACUGAUUCUUAUCUUCAGUUGGGGCGACUACGGGAGAAAACAAAGCUCCCAUGAGGACUGGGGCUAACAAGGCCCUAGAACCAAGAAAGACAUUUCUAAGUCACAGAACAUCUGACCACCUAAGAUCCGGCCACCCGCCGACCAACGGACCAAGUUACCCUAGGGAUAACGGCGCGGUCCCCUUCCAGAGUCCAUAUCGACAAGGGGGUGUACAACCUCGAUGUGGGAUCAAGACAUCCUAAUGGUGCAUCCG
Molecule: ribosomal RNA, 440 nt
Filed under: Wallago attu
Lineage: Eukaryota; Metazoa; Chordata; Actinopteri; Siluriformes; Siluridae
Description: partial large subunit ribosomal RNA
Rfam family: Bacterial large subunit ribosomal RNA
Source: RNAcentral